Non-coding RNA from Tephrocybe sp. NHM501043, 83 nucleotides. Lineage: Eukaryota; Fungi; Basidiomycota; Agaricomycetes; Agaricales; Lyophyllaceae. The record is from the annotation of a GenBank genome assembly.
GUCCUUGUCGAUUAGUGGUUAAAUCAUCUCGUUGUGGUUGAACUGGCUCCGAGAAGCCGGAAGUUCGAAUCCUCCCUGGGACA